RNAcentral lists this ribosomal RNA (497 nucleotides) under uncultured bacterium. RNAcentral describes it as "partial 16S ribosomal RNA". It matches the Rfam family "Bacterial small subunit ribosomal RNA", at positions 28 to 507 of the family's 1533-position model. The record is from RNAcentral.
GAUGAACGCUGGCGGCGUGCCUAAUACAUGCAAGUCGAGCGAACAGACGAGGAGCUUGCUCCUCUGACGUUAGCGGCGGACGGGUGAGUAACACGUGGAUAACCUACCUAUAAGACUGGGAUAACUUCGGGAAACCGGAGCUAAUACCGGAUAAUAUAUUGAACCGCAUGGUUCAAUAGUGAAAGACGGUUUUGCUGUCACUUAUAGAUGGAUCCGCGCCGCAUUAGCUAGUUGGUAAGGUAACGGCUUACCAAGGCAACGAUGCGUAGCCGACCUGAGAGGGUGAUCGGCCACACUGGAACUGAGACACGGUCCAGACUCCUACGGGAGGCAGCAGUAGGGAAUCUUCCGCAAUGGGCGAAAGCCUGGCGGAGCAACGCCGCGUGAGUGAUGAAGGUCUUCGGAUCGUAAAACUCUGUUAUUAGGGAAGAACAAAUGUGUAAGUAACUAUGCACGUCUUGACGGUACCUAAUCAGAAAGCCACGGCCAACUACGUG